AGGAUUCAGUCUGGAGUUGCAGUUGCGCUGGUCGGGGGCUUCCCCGGGGCCGUCCGACCGCGAAGGCCAGACGCAUUUGUCUCCCGUUCGAAGGACGUCGCAGCCUGUCUGGCAGUGCAAACGUGACGGCCUGGAAGGCGGACGUCGGCAGGUAGUCGGUGGCGGGUCUAGUGCUCGCUAUCGGUUGUUAGCCUGUCCGUCGGUGGCACGUCGUCAGACAGAGGUACGGAGAUGCCCUCAUGGGCGUCACCACCUCCCCUCUCUGCGGGACAGACUGUCGCGAGUGAAGGCAGCCGCGCGGCCGCACUCCGUCGGAGUGGGCCAGCGGCCGGCGGCGACGGCGGGCUCGUAGGAGGUCGGAGGUUGGCGGCGAGUAGGUCGGUCACCCACCCGACCCGUCUUGAAACACGGACCAAGGAGUCUAA
RNAcentral lists this ribosomal RNA (425 nucleotides) under Lycosidae gen.1 sp. NM-2005. RNAcentral describes it as "partial 28S ribosomal RNA". Lineage: Eukaryota; Metazoa; Arthropoda; Arachnida; Araneae; Lycosidae. The record is from RNAcentral.